Molecule: unclassified non-coding RNA, 24 nt
Filed under: Mus musculus (house mouse)
Lineage: Eukaryota; Metazoa; Chordata; Mammalia; Rodentia; Muridae
Description: oocyte_clustered_small_RNA10767
Source: RNAcentral
GGAUGCUCUGCGGCCCGAUGUGUG